GGUAUAGUUAUAUCAGUACUUUAAAAUCUAUGCUUUGUGUUUCUUUUCUUAUGGUAAACUUUGAAUUACCAGUCACCUGUGUUCCGGAUGAUGGUAACUUACCGAAGUUAAGAGGAUAUAAGUAUGGUGAAAAAUGAAGCAAUCCGAUACCAACAGUUGAUUCAUUGAGACCCCAGCCCAGACAAUACCAUUUCAAAGGAUUAUCUAGAAGUUGCCUAACGAUUGACCAAUUAAAGGCUUUCUUGUGAGUGCUUGAGAAAACUCAUACCAGAAGCUUUUGCCAUCAAUCUUGCAUACUAAACGCCUUUG
Stegodyphus dumicola is the source of this 309-nucleotide long non-coding RNA. NCBI's taxonomy places the organism in Eukaryota, Metazoa, Arthropoda, Arachnida, Araneae, Eresidae. The record is from RefSeq and is a predicted model, not a curated record.